GAUGAACGCUGGCGGCGUGCUUAACACAUGCAAGUCGAACGAAGCAUUUGCGACAGAUUUUUUCGGAAUGAAGUUGCUUAUGACUGAGUGGCGGACGGGUGAGUAACGCGUGGGUAACCUGCCUUGUACUGGGGGAUAGCAGCUGGAAACGGCUGGUAAUACCGCAUAAGCGCACAAUGUUGCAUGACAUGGUGUGAAAAACUCCGGGGGUAUAAGAUGGACCCGCGUCUGAUUAGCUAUUGGGUGAGAUUACAGCCCACCAAGGCGACGAUCAGGAGCCGACCUGGGAGGGGGCCCGGCUACAUUUGGACUGAGACACAGCCCAGACUCCUAGGGGAGGCAGCAGUGGAGAAUAUUGCAGAAUGGAGGAAACUCUGAUGCAGCGACGCCGCGUGAGUGAAGAAGUAAUUCGUUAUGUAAAGCUCUAUCAGCAGGGAAGAUAGUGACGGUACCUGACGAAGAAGCUCCGGCUAAAUACGUG
RNAcentral lists this ribosomal RNA (481 nucleotides) under uncultured bacterium. RNAcentral describes it as "partial 16S ribosomal RNA". It matches the Rfam family "Bacterial small subunit ribosomal RNA", at positions 28 to 507 of the family's 1533-position model. The record is from RNAcentral.